AGAGUUUGAUCCUGGCUCAGGAUGAACGCUAGCGACAGGCUUAACACAUGCAAGUCGAGGGGCAGCACAGGUAGCAAUACCGGGUGGCGACCGGCGCACGGGUGAGUAACGCGCAUGCAACUUGCCUAUCAGAGGGGGAUAACCCGGCGAAAGUCGGACUAAUACCGCAUGAAGCAGGGAUCCCGCAUGGGAAUAUUUGCUANAAGAUUCAUCGCUGAUAGAUAGGCAUGCGUUCCAUUAGGCAGUUGGCGGGGUAACGGCCCACCAAACCGACGAUGGAUAGGGGUUCUGAGAGGAAGGUCCCCCACAUUGGUACUGAGACACGGACCAAACUCCUACGGGAGGCAGCAGUGAGGAAUAUUGGUCAAUGGCCGAGAGGCUGAACCAGCCAAGUCGCGUGAGGGAUGAAGGUUCUAUGGAUCGUAAACCUCUUUUAUAAGGGAAUAAAGUGCGGGACGUGUCCCGUUUUGUAUGUACCUUAUGAAUAAGGAUCGGCUAACUCCGUGCCAGCAGCCGC
Molecule: ribosomal RNA, 517 nt
Filed under: uncultured Parabacteroides sp.
Lineage: Bacteria; Pseudomonadati; Bacteroidota; Bacteroidia; Bacteroidales; Tannerellaceae
Description: bacterial SSU rRNA
Rfam family: Bacterial small subunit ribosomal RNA
Source: RNAcentral